RNAcentral lists this ribosomal RNA (465 nucleotides) under Vreelandella stevensii. RNAcentral describes it as "partial 16S ribosomal RNA". It matches the Rfam family "Bacterial small subunit ribosomal RNA", at positions 338 to 795 of the family's 1533-position model. Lineage: Bacteria; Pseudomonadati; Pseudomonadota; Gammaproteobacteria; Oceanospirillales; Halomonadaceae. The record is from RNAcentral.
CCUACGGGCGGCAGCAGUGGGGAAUAUUGGACAAUGGGGGCAACCCUGAUCCAGCCAUGCCGCGUGUGUGAAGAAGGCCCUCGGGUUGUAAAGCACUUUCAGUGAGGAAGAACGCCUGGUGGUUAAUACCCAUCAGGAAAGACAUCACUCACAGAAGAAGCACCGGCUAACUCCGUGCCAGCAGCCGCGGUAAUACGGAGGGUGCGAGCGUUAAUCGGAAUUACUGGGCGUAAAGCGCGCGUAGGUGGCUUGAUAAGCCGGUUGUGAAAGCCCCGGGCUCAACCUGGGAACGGCAUCCGGAACUGUCAAGCUAGAGUGCAGGAGAGGAAGGUAGAAUUCCCGGUGUAGCGGUGAAAUGCGUAGAGAUCGGGAGGAAUACCAGUGGCGAAGGCGGCCUUCUGGACUGACACUGACACUGAGGUGCGAAAGCGUGUGUAGCAAACAGGAUUAGAUACCCCGGUAGUC